Molecule: ribosomal RNA, 205 nt
Filed under: uncultured bacterium
Lineage: Bacteria
Description: partial 16S ribosomal RNA
Rfam family: Bacterial small subunit ribosomal RNA
Source: RNAcentral
ACGGGGGGACUCCUACGGGAGGCAGCAGUGGGGAAUAUUGGACAAUGGGGGCAACCCUGAUCCAGCGAUGCCGCGUGUGUGAAGAAGGCCUUCGGGUUGUAAAGCACUUUCGCGGGGGAAGAAACUUCGCGCUCUAACAUAGCGCGGCACUGACGGUACCCCGAGAAGAAGCGCCGGCUAACUCCGUGCCAGCAGCCGCGGUAAU